Eurytemora carolleeae is the source of this 297-nucleotide long non-coding RNA. RefSeq lists it as uncharacterized. The record is from RefSeq and is a predicted model, not a curated record. Lineage: Eukaryota; Metazoa; Arthropoda; Copepoda; Calanoida; Temoridae. The transcript is spliced from 2 exons.
CAAAGUCCAGAGUCCCGAGUCCAGUGUCCAGAGUCCAGAUGACAGUAGUACAAAGAGUCUACACCAAGUCCCGAGUCCAGAGGCGUGAGUCCAGUGUCGAGUGUCUAGAGGCGAGAGUCCAGAGUCCGAUAUCCAGAGAUGAGAUUUGUAUCCAUCCUCAAUUAAACCAAGAGAUAGUGCAGUAAAAAUUGAAACCAUUGAAAUACAUAUUUAAUAUUGUCUUUCAUGCUUGCAAUUUGCUGUCUUAUAUUCUCUUUAAAUAGGCUGUAAAUCGCCUUAAAUAGAUUUUACAUGGAG